Molecule: ribosomal RNA, 1429 nt
Filed under: uncultured organism
Description: 16S ribosomal RNA
Rfam family: Bacterial small subunit ribosomal RNA
Source: RNAcentral
ACGAACGCUGGCGGCGUGCUCAACACAUGCAAGUCGAACGGAAAGGCCCUGCUUUUGUGGGGUGCUCGAGUGGCGAACGGGUGAGUAACACGUGAGUAACCUGCCCUUGACUUUGGGAUAACUUCAGGAAACUGGGGCUAAUACCGGAUAGGAGCUCCUGCUGCAUGGUGGGGGUUGGAAAGUUUCGGCGGUUGGGGAUGGACUCGCGGCUUAUCAGCUUGUUGGUGGGGUAGUGGCUUACCAAGGCUUUGACGGGUAGCCGGCCUGAGAGGGUGACCGGCCACAUUGGGACUGAGAUACGGCCCAGACUCCUACGGGAGGCAGCAGUGGGGAAUAUUGCACAAUGGGCGGAAGCCUGAUGCAGCAACGCCGCGUGCGGGAUGACGGCCUUCGGGUUGUAAACCGCUUUCGCCUGUGACGAAGCGUGAGUGACGGUAAUGGGUAAAGAAGCACCGGCUAACUACGUGCCAGCAGCCGCGGUGAUACGUAGGGUGCGAGCGUUGUCCGGAUUUAUUGAGCGUAAAGGGCUCGUAGGUGGUUGAUCGCGUCGGAAGUGUAAUCUUGGGGCUUAACCCUGAGCGUGCUUUCGAUACGGGUUGACUUGAGGAAGGUAGGGGAGAAUGGAAUUCCUGGUGGAGCGGUGGAAUGCGCAGAUAUCAGGAGGAACACCAGUGGCGAAGGCGGUUCUCUGGGCCUUUCCUGACGCUGAGGAGCGAAAGCGUGGGGAGCGAACAGGCUUAGAUACCCUGGUAGUCCACGCUGUAAACGGUGGGUACUAGGUGUGGGGUCCAUUCCACGGGUUCCGUGCCGUAGCUAACGCUUUAAGUACCCCGCCUGGGGAGUACGGCCGCAAGGCUAAAACUCAAAGGAAUUGACGGGGCCCCGCACAAGCGGCGGAGCAUGCGGAUUAAUUCGAUGCAACGCGUAGAACCUUACCUGGGUUUGACAUGGAUCGGGAGUGCUCAGAGAUGGGUGUGCCUCUUUUGGGGUCGGUUCACAGGUGGUGCAUGGCUGUCGCCAGCUCGUGUCGUGAGAUGUUGGGUUAAGUCCCGCAACGAGCGCAACCCUUGUUCACUGUUGCCAGCACGUUAUGGUGGGGACUCAGUGGAGACCGCCGGGGUCAACUCGGAGGAAGGUGGGGAUGACGUCAAGUCAUCAUGCCCCUUAUGUCCAGGGCUUCACGCAUGCUACAAUGGCUGGUACAGAGAGUGGCGAGCCUGUGAGGGUGAGCGAAUCUCGGAAAGCCGGUCUCAGUUCGGAUUGGGGUCUGCAACUCGACCUCAUGAAGUCGGAGUCGCUAGUAAUCGCAGAUCAGCAACGCUGCGGUGAAUACGUUCCCGGGGCUUGUACACACCGCCCGUCAAGUCAUGAAAGUUGGUAACACCCGAAGCCGGUGGCCUAACCGUUGUGGGGGAGCCGUCGAAGGUGG